This 256-nucleotide small nucleolar RNA is filed under the name Nicotiana sylvestris (wood tobacco). RNAcentral describes it as "Plant small nucleolar RNA U3". It matches the Rfam family "Plant small nucleolar RNA U3". Rfam says of the family: Small nucleolar RNAs (snoRNAs) are involved in the processing and modification of rRNA in the nucleolus. There are two main classes of snoRNAs: the box C/D class, and the box H/ACA class. The record is from Rfam by way of RNAcentral. Lineage: Eukaryota; Viridiplantae; Streptophyta; Magnoliopsida; Solanales; Solanaceae.
ACGACCUUACUUGAACAGGAUCUGUUCUAUAGGCUCGUACCACUGUAUCCUUGAGUUCUAAGGAGACAGAAAACCAAGUCUGGUUGAUGAGAUGGCCAAUAGACCAGAGCGUGAUUAACAGCUCCCAUAACCCGUGGGUUAUGGUGCCGUAGAUGAUCGUUCUUAUCCCCAACCUUGGUGUGCUGAGAUGGUCUAAUGGCUGUUCUUAUCCCCAACCUUGGUGUGCUGAGAUGGUCUAAUGGCUGUCUGACAGACU